GGUAGGGUGGCCGAGAAGGUAGUGGGUUGUAGCCCCGAAGACAGAGGUUUGAGUCCUCUUCCUAUCA
RNAcentral lists this transfer RNA (67 nucleotides) under Osteobrama feae. Its description in RNAcentral is "tRNA-Tyr". It matches the Rfam family "tRNA". Rfam says of the family: Transfer RNA (tRNA) molecules are approximately 80 nucleotides in length. Lineage: Eukaryota; Metazoa; Chordata; Actinopteri; Cypriniformes; Cyprinidae. The record is from RNAcentral.